AGCAGCCAGGGGGCAGGAAGUGGGAAGAGGCGGAUAGUGGGCAGAUAGGGGGUGAGGGCCAGGCUGUUUGGGGAGGCACAGCCUUUGCUACCCGGUCCUCUAUACAGUUUUGCAACCCCAAUGUGGCCCUCGGGCCAAAAAGUUUGCCCACCCCUACUCUAGCAGCACCUCAGAACAGCAAUAUAACAUAAGCCUUAUAAAGUGCUGCUUCCUUCUGAAGGCUUGUGCUCAUUAUGUUGUGCCUUCUGUGUCCAAAUGCAGAAACUGAAACAGCUACUUAACAUGUAAAAAAGUUUUUUGGGUUUUUUUUUAGUAGGCAAAAGGACUGCAGUUCUCUGUGUAAAGAUGCAAAGUGCCUCAUUUGCCAUCAAAGUUAAUGAGGAUGUCAGUGAGGUUCAGCUCCCAGAGGUCACUGUGGAGUCUGCCAAAAAAAAAAGAAAGAAGAAGAAGAAACUAUGAAUAGUAAUGAGCAUCUCACCGUGAGGUAAAACAAAGAGGACGGUAUAAGACACAUAGCUCAGCUACAUGCAGAAUAAUGACAUUGUGAGCAGUGCCUCUUGUGUACUACACAACUGAAUGAAGGCGUGCAAUGUGUGGGCUGAGAAAGCUUUGAAGCAAUCACUAAGGAUGAAUUGUACUUUUAGGUGCAGAUCGGGCUGGGGCUGUGCCAGACUACUCCUGGGGUGCGGUUCCCAAAUGCUUUGUGGACCACUUCAGCAUACAGCGAGAGCUCAUCUGCUACAGCACCCCUUUUGGGACUGUAGAAUACACUCCAUUUCUAGUUAGCUUCCUCCUAGUGCUCCCUAGAUUCCUCCUACUCCUCCCUGGCUGCUUUGGUUCAUCAUGGGAGUGCAGGUGUAACGCUGACAGACCCCGGUGGUCAGUGGGCGGGAUCAAACCGGGGACCUAUGGAGCUUAGUGCAUGAGCUUCUACUGCAUGAGCUAAAAGCCAAAUAGCUGUUAGCUACGGCUGUAGAGCAGACUCAUUUAACUCUCUCUCUAAGUGGUCUCGGUGCCACUAAAUGGGACAGAGCACCACACCCAGAAGGUGUGAGGGUUACACAAGUAAAGCAGUCUUUGUUGUCCCAUGAGUGCAGGGACUGCACAGAUCUGGGCGACGGUGCGGGGGACAGACAUUCUAACAUGCAUGUAAUGGUAUCCAUGGGCCAUUGCAGAAGUGUAGAAUUGCAGAGUUUAAUAACACUUUGCUUGUUCCAUCUCCUGACACACCCUUGGUGUGGCUCAGAAUACCCCCUCUGUAGCAUUUCUACAAGGUGUGACGAGGGUUGCAGAACUUUCUACAGAAGGCCUGUUCCCCAGAGGAUUGGCACCACAGUGAAUUCUCCGAUCGUCACUCUCUGGAAGCUCACCGAAAGGCUGACUCAGUCACCAAGAUCAAUCUGCAAGUUGGGGAGCAGGAGAGGAGAGGACAGGACAAGUUUGGUGUAAGCAGCCCCGGCAGAUGUCUUGGCACCAUCUCAAAGGUCAUAGCAAAACUGAUCCCUAUGGAGUCAGGGAUCCUCAUUCUCCAAGGUUUGUGCCAGAACAGUCGCCUCCUCUCCAUCUCCUUUGUCUGAGGAUUCCUGGGGCUGGAGAAAUGCAGUGGUGUCUCCCUACAAGGCCUUCCUGUUGAAUCUGCCCAGUUCCCUCAGUGACUUUAUGCAGUGCUUUGGUCUGCUGCUGGCCAUUUCAAGCCUCAAUGCCAGGAAGUCGACUCAGUAGCAAUGAUUAAACCUUUUAACCUUUAGAGGUUUGCCCAGCACCUCACCUCACUUAUAUAGAUGGCCCUGGUUAUCUAUUUAUUGCCGCAUUGCCCUGGAAAGGAGGUGGAAAUACCUUGUAAUGACACUACAGAAACCCCAAAAUCUCAGAGAAAUGCAAGAUCUACUCAUAAAUUCUAGGAAACUACUAGUCCACCAGGAAUUUUUGAGACGACUAGGGUAGCCACACGGUAAUGCAGCACAAUCUGUCCCUAUGCAAUGCUUCAUGCUAUAAGCUGAAAUAGUGGCCACGCAUUAUGUUAGCAUAACCAGGCACUGGAUCGACUUCCCAAAGCUCCCCUGUACACCAGCCUCUUUUGAUCUGGCAUGGAGCCCACCACUCUCAUGCAGAGGAUACAGAGUUCUCCCACACAGUCAUUCCACCUACAAUGGAUGGCCCCUACAGAUCCCUACUGCAAAGCUCUCAAUAUAUAGAUGAGUUUCACCCUCUGAGGAGAUUGGUCUUGGGCCUGAUUCUGGUCUCACACCAGUUUUACAUCAGUUGAAUUCCAUUGAUUUCACCAGAGUGAGAACCUCAUGAAUGGAAGCAGGAUUGGGGCCAUUAUUGCUAGUGAAAGAUACUGUGGUGAAAUAUGGCUGGAAUAUACCCUUAUCUGGAGGCAUGAUAGAAUGAAAGUGUCUUUAGUUCAAGGGAAUGAAAACAUAUAUAAAACUAUUUGUGGGGAACAGAAACAGAGACCACCAAAAUAAUAAAAAGAUUCAGCACAUUCCAAGAAAACAAGAUAGCAAAGGAUGAAAUAAGAAUCUUUCAUCCAGAGGCUGCUCAAGUGUGCAUUUAAAAGAAGGAAUAGAUCUGCCUGUUGUAACCCACCUGUACAUACUCAUAACGCUCACUGCUCAGCAUAACCUAUUAAGCAAAAUCAAGUGUGCAAGACUAAUACCAAAUCAAUUACAGCAGCUAAUGUGUGCAAUAACCAGCCAGCAGAAAUGUUUCAAGUUGUACACAGUAUUCAUCACAGGUAAUAAUAACCUCUUAGCCGGAGUAUGAGAAAUUAAAUCAGCUGGCAAGGUUCAAGGGAGAACUUAAUAGAACAUAUAUUAAAACUUCCCAAGGGGUCUUGUAAUCUAUUGAAAUGGAAUGUGGGUUACCAAUGUACUUGGUAUUAGCUUUCAAAAUAUCCAGUUUCUUAUCACUCCCUAAAGGCUUAGGUCUUGACUCACAUGAACAGUCCUAUUGAAUUCAACAGGGCUACUUGCUUGAGUAAGGGUUACUCAUGUGGCUAAAGGUUGUAGGAUUGGAGUGUAUAUUAAAAAUGCUCAUAUUGUUAGACCAUUUAUUUACAAUGGGGGGGGGUAGAUGAAAUAAUAUAAAUCCUGUAGUUAUAAAAACAGCCUUAGUCUGCACUGUAAAUCCUGCAGUGAUACUUCUGAGGUCAUAAUCUCAGAUAAUGAAUAUGAUUUACAAUUACUCCCAGUUUAACUGUUCUAAACCAUGUGACAUGGUACCUCAGCAUCAUGGAGGAGGAAGGAGAUUGACUCGAAUGUAGAGGGCACAAGAACCAGACCUGGGGUUGGCCAAAGGCGUAGAUUAGUAUAAGCUGCCUGAGGAAGGCAUGGGGAGACUAGGACUAGAAGUUGGUGGUGGGAGGUAGUCUGGGACUGGAACUGGCUGAGCAAAGAGACUGGGAGCCCAAUGGGAAGGGAGUCUGGGAGAGUAACUGUGAGAGUAAAAAUGCCGGUCAAUGAGUCUGGGGCAAGUAGCAAGGUGGGGGUGAGGACUGGGACUCAGAUGUAGAGUCCUGAGAAAGAAACUGGGAAAGGAGAUAGAGUCUGGGAUGAGAAGCCCAGGCUUGGCUAGGUGAGGACACUGGCAGACAGAGGCAGUGAGGCUGAGACAGGGCCAAUCAGAUGGGAGAGGGGAAAGAGAGAGGACUGGGACAGGCUGGAGGGAACAGGGGCAAAAGGAGUCAGGCUUGGAGAGAACGGCAAAAAACAGUCUAUAACCAUUAUGAACAUUGUUCUCCAGAAGCUGGAAUGGAGCCCAAGAUUCCUGAGUCUUAUCAUUCCUCUGAAGUCAGCAAAUACUUGUGAAAUCUACUGGCAAAGUGUCUCCUCCCUCUCUAGUUCCAGUCCACACUGAAGAUAAUAGCUUACUACUUCUGUCAGUUAUUCCAUUAACUCAAGUGGCAGAGGUCUGUGCUGGGGAUGUAAAGGUUCCAACUGUGCUCAUUAACCAUACAAAGAUAGGGCUGGAAGGAUCUCAAGAGGUCAUUUGGUCCUUCCCUUGCACUGAGUCAGGACCAAAUAAAUGUAGACCAUUCCUGACAGGUGUUUGUCCAACUGUUCUUAAAAAUCUCCAGUUAUGGGGAUUCCAUAACUUCCCUUGGUAACCUAUUCCAGGACUUAGCUAUCUUUAUCGAUAGAAAGUUUUAUCUAAUCUUGCUGCAGCUUACAAUGAUUGCUUCUUCUCCUAUCUUCAGUGGAGGUAAUGCGGAACAAUUGAUCCUCUUUAUAACAGCCCUGAACAUAUUUGAAAACAUGUAUCAGCUUCCCCCCGUCAGUCUUCUUUUCUCAAGACUAAACAUUCCCAGUUUUUUUUAACCCUUCCUCAUAGGUCAGGAGUUCUAAACCUUUUCUUAUUUGUGUUGCUCUCAUCUGGACUCUCUACACUUUGUUCACAUGUUUCUUAAAUGUGCUGCCCAAACUGGACACAGUACUCUAGCUGAGCCUUACCAGUGCCAAGCAUAGCAGAAGAAUUACCUCCACAUAAUACAAAAAUGGCAUAUAUCAUUCCGGAGUGUAACUGCAUCACAUUGUUGACUCAUAUUCAAUUUUUAGUCCACUAUAACCCCCAGUUCCUUUUCUGCAGCAUUACCACCCUAGCCACUUAUUUACCAUUUUAUAUUUGUGCAUUUGAUUUCUCCUUCCUAAGUCUAGCACUUUGCACCCAUCUUCAUUAUAUUUCAUCUUGUUGAUUUCAAAGCCAAUUCUCCAAUUCAUUUUCAAUUCUAAUCCUAUCCUCCAAAGUGCUUGCAAACCCUCCCAAACUUUAUGUUAUUUAAACAUUUUUAUAAGCACAUGUUCCACACUGUCAUCCCAGUCAUUAAUGAAAAUGUUGAAUCCUACUGGACCCAGCACAGACUCCUGUGCAACCCCACUAGAUAUGGCCUCCCUUUUUGAUAAUAUGUUUUUUUUUCAACUAGCUGUGUACCCACCUUAAAAUGAUUUAAUCUAGACCACAUUUGCCCAUGAGAAUUGUGACAUAUCUUUCUCUGAAGAGCCCAUUAUUAAAUAUUUGUUCCCCAUGUAGAUACUUACAGAUGGUAAUCA
Molecule: non-coding RNA, 5051 nt
Organism: Chrysemys picta bellii (western painted turtle)
Lineage: Eukaryota; Metazoa; Chordata; Testudines; Emydidae
Source: RefSeq, a predicted model, not a curated record